CGGGACACGUGGUAUCCUGUCUGAAUAUGGGGGGACCAUCCUCCAAGGCUAAAUACUCCUGACUGACCGAUAGUGAACCAGUACCGUGAGGGAAAGGCGAAAAGAACCCCGGCGAGGGGAGUGAAAAAGAACCUGAAACCGUGUACGUACAAGCAGUGGGAGCACGCUUAGGCGUGUGACUGCGUACCUUUUGUAUAAUGGGUCAGCGACUUAUAUUCUGUAGCAAGGUUAACCGAAUAGGGGAGCCGAAGGGAAACCGAGUCUUAACUGGGCGUUAAGUUGCAGGGUAUAGACCCGAAACCCGGUGAUCUAGCCAUGGGCAGGUUGAAGGUUGGGUAACACUAACUGGAGGACCGAACCGACUAAUGUUGAAAAAUUAGCGGAUGACUUGUGGCUGGGGGUGAAAGGCCAAUCAAACCGGGAGAUAGCUGGUUCUCCCCGAAAGCUAUUUAGGUAGCGCCUCGUGAAUUCAUCUCCGGGGGUAGAGCACUGUUUCGGCAAGGGGGUCAUCCCGACUUACCAACCCGAUGCAAACUGCGAAUACCGGAGAAUGUUAUCACGGGAGACACACGGCGGGUGCUAACGUCCGUCGUGAAGAGGGAAACAACCCAGACCGCCAGCUAAGGUCCCAAAGUCAUGGUUAAGUGGGAAACGAUGUGGGAAGGCCCAGACAGCCAGGAUGUUGGCUUAGAAGCAGCCAUCAUUUAAAGAAAGCGUAAUAGCUCACUGGUCGAGUCGGCCUGCGCGGAAGAUGUAACGGGGCUAAACCAUGCACCGAAGCUGCGGCAGCGACGCUUAUGCGUUGUUGGGUAGGGGAGCGUUCUGUAAGCCUGUGAAGGUGUACUGUGAGGUAUGCUGGAGGUAUCAGAAGUGCGAAUGCUGACAUAAGUAACGAUAAAGCGGGUGAAAAGCCCGCUCGCCGGAAGACCAAGGGUUCCUGUCCAACGUUAAUCGGGGCAGGGUGAGUCGACCCCUAAGGCGAGGCCGAAAGGCGUAGUCGAUGGGAAACAGGUUAAUAUUCCUGUACUUGGUGUUACUGCGAAGGGGGGACGGAGAAGGCUAUGUUGGCCGGGCGACGGUUGUCCCGGUUUAAGCGUGUAGGCUGGUUUUCCAGGCAAAUCCGGAAAAUCAAGGCUGAGGCGUGAUGACGAGGCACUACGGUGCUGAAGCAACAAAUGCCCUGCUUCCAGGAAAAGCCUCUAAGCAUCAGGUAACAUCAAAUCGUACCCCAAACCGACACAGGUGGUCAGGUAGAGAAUACCAAGGCGCUUGAGAGAACUCGGGUGAAGGAACUAGGCAAAAUGGUGCCGUAACUUCGGGAGAAGGCACGCUGAUAUGUAGGUGAAGUCCCUCGCGGAUGGAGCUGAAAUCAGUCGAAGAUACCAGCUGGCUGCAACUGUUUAUUAAAAACACAGCACUGUGCAAACACGAAAGUGGACGUAUACGGUGUGACGCCUGCCCGGUGCCGGAAGGUUAAUUGAUGGGGUUAGCGCAAGCGAAGCUCUUGAUCGAAGCCCCGGUAAACGGCGGCCGUAACUAUAACGGUCCUAAGGUAGCGAAAUUCCUUGUCGGGUAAGUUCCGACCUGCACGAAUGGCGUAAUGAUGGCCAGGCUGUCUCCACCCGAGACUCAGUGAAAUUGAACUCGCUGUGAAGAUGCAGUGUACCCGCGGCAAGACGGAAAGACCCCGUGAACCUUUACUAUAGCUUGACACUGAACAUUGAGCCUUGAUGUGUAGGAUAGGUGGGAGGCUUUGAAGUGUGGACGCCAGUCUGCAUGGAGCCGACCUUGAAAUACCACCCUUUAAUGUUUGAUGUUCUAACGUGGACCCGUAAUCCGGGUUGCGGACAGUGUCUGGUGGGUAGUUUGACUGGGGCGGUCUCCUCCUAAAGAGUAACGGAGGAGCACGAAGGUUGGCUAAUCCUGGUCGGACAUCAGGAGGUUAGUGCAAUGGCAUAAGCCAGCUUGACUGCGAGCGUGACGGCGCGAGCAGGUGCGAAAGCAGGUCAUAGUGAUCCGGUGGUUCUGAAUGGAAGGGCCAUCGCUCAACGGAUAAAAGGUACUCCGGGGAUAACAGGCUGAUACCGCCCAAGAGUUCAUAUCGACGGCGGUGUUUGGCACCUCGAUGUCGGCUCAUCACAUCCUGGGGCUGAAGUAGGUCCCAAGGGUAUGGCUGUUCGCCAUUUAAAGUGGUACGCGAGCUGGGUUUAGAACGUCGUGAGACAGUUCGGUCCCUAUCUGCCGUGGGCGCUGGAGAAUUGAGGGGGGCUGCUCCUAGUACGAGAGGACCGGAGUGGA
This 2298-nucleotide ribosomal RNA is filed under the name Escherichia coli. Its description in RNAcentral is "partial 23S ribosomal RNA". It matches the Rfam family "Bacterial large subunit ribosomal RNA", at positions 418 to 2701 of the family's 2925-position model. The record is from RNAcentral. Lineage: Bacteria; Pseudomonadati; Pseudomonadota; Gammaproteobacteria; Enterobacterales; Enterobacteriaceae.